AUGACGCCCACUGGAUUGCUUUCACUGUUACAGCUGCAAAAAUCCACCCCCCCGUCCGUCUUCCCCCUGGUUCCCUGCUGCACCCAGACUGGCAGUGCUCCCCCGGACACAAGCCUGGCCUGCCUCGUAACUGGCUAUUUACCAUCACCAGUGAACAUCAAGUGGAAUUCUGGCAAAGUGACCCAGGGGGGCAAGGAUUUCCCAGAGAUGACGAUGAGCGACGGGCUCCACACCCGGAGCAGCCUGCUGAUCCUCCCUGACAGGUCCCGGCAGGGCGACACCUACCAGAGCGAUGUGACGCAUCCAGGCACAGCAAAGACAGUGUCGAAGACGUUCCCUCGGGAAUGGUGUGGUUUGACAAGGCCCCCCGAGGUUCACCUGCUGGCCCCCACCUGCGAGGACAGCUCCACAGAGAGCCAGCGGGAGCUGGUUUGCCUCCUCCUGAGCUUCUAACCUGGCAAAGCCGACAGGUGGAUGGAUGGAGACUAUGAGUGUUCUGAUGGAGUCUUUUUCUGUCUUUCCACAUUAUUUGAACUGGUCAAUGACAUCUCUUUGCAUUUCUCAGCCUGCCUCAGAAGCUCACUUGACCCAACCAUCUACUUAACCAAACCCUCCUAUGAAGACGUCAUCAAAAAUUCUGGUCACGUUACCUGUCUAGUUCUGGGCUAUGACUUAGCGGCCAGCAGAAUCGCAUGGAAAGUGGAUGGGAAAGUCAGCUCCGCGGUGAAGACAGAACCCCUCAAGAUGAACAGCAACGGGACCACCAGCCUGGUCAGUUCUCACCCUGUGUCGCUGGCACAAUGGGGACAAGGCACCGAAUUUACCUGCAAAGUGACCACACCCUGUUCUGGAGAACUAACCCAGGACAUAACCAUGAGCAACACAGGCAUCAGGAAGGAGCCCUCAGUCACCAUCUCCCGAGCCUAUCACGAAGACAGCUCUGGGAACAGAGUCUCCUUGACUCUCAUCUGCAAAACUAGUGGCUUUUACCCUGAAGAGAUCAGCAUCUCAUGGUUGAAGAACAACUCCCUGGAACUCAAGUCCAGUUACAACAAUGGCCCUGUGUCAGGAAGUGGCACUUUCUCUGCCUACGGUGUCCUGAAGGUUGAGCAAAGCCAAGGAGAAGGAAAUUACACCUGCGUGGUGCAUCACCUGGCCAUGGAAGAGCCCAAGAGUGUUGUGGAAAUGUUGUCCCUUGGUGUCAGCAACUGUAAUCGACACCCUCUGGAGGUCUCUCUCCUUCCCCCUUCCCUGGAGGACCUCUACAUAGCGCAGAAUGCCACCAUCAGUUGUUUGGUGAGUGGCAUGGAGACCCCCGGCAGCCUGGAGGUCUCCUGGAGCCGGGCUAGCGAGGACCCGUUGGCCGUGGUCUCCAGGGAGCCGGUGCUGCAGGAAGAUGGCACCUACAGUGCAACCAGCAUCCUGCGGGUGUGCGUGGAGGAGUGGCAGGCGUGGGAGGAGUUCACCUGAACGGUGAAGCACCAAGACAUCCCGUUGGCCAUUGUCAAGACCAUCCACAAGAGUCACAUGGUCUCCCUCCGGGCCCCUUCUGUCUACAUCUCCCCUCCUCACGCUGAGGAGCUGUCUCUCUGGGAAUCAGCCACCAUCACCUGCCUGGCCUCCGGCUUCCAGCCCAGAGAGAUCCUGGUGACAUGGACCCAGCAGGACCGGCCCGUGCCCCAGGAAGCCUACACCAACAUCGGCCCCGUCCGGGAGGCUGGGAAGGAGGAGCUCUACUUCAUCUACAGCAAGCUCAAUGUCUUGGUGUCCGAAUGGGAGCGGGGGGACACGUACGCCUGCGUGGUGGGGCACGAGGGCCUGCCCAUGACCUUCAUCCACCAGAGCUGUCAUAGCGUGGACAAAUCCUCUGCUCCUCACUGCCUGGUGGAGGACCACGGCGUCUAUGUUGAAGGAGGAGAGGAGGAAUCUGACGGUCUCUGGACACCUGUUGUCUUCAUUGCUCUCUUCCUGCUCAGCCUGUUGUACAGCGCCGGCGUCACGCUGGCUAAGGUGUGGGGAGUGUCCGGCUCCAGGCUCCUAGGAGGUGGCCAGCACUGCUUCGUCCUCUUCAUUCCCUCCCUCCACCUUCAGCCCUCCCGGGCUCCUGCCCUCCCUCCGGACACCUGGAGGGACCAUGUUCCACGGCAGCUCAGAGGGCGCGACAACGGCCGCUGA
This is a non-coding RNA of Malaclemys terrapin pileata, 2175 nucleotides long. Lineage: Eukaryota; Metazoa; Chordata; Testudines; Emydidae. The record is from the annotation of a RefSeq genome assembly.